Molecule: unclassified non-coding RNA, 2235 nt
Filed under: Hevea brasiliensis (rubber tree)
Lineage: Eukaryota; Viridiplantae; Streptophyta; Magnoliopsida; Malpighiales; Euphorbiaceae
Source: RNAcentral
GACCCUUCGUCACGCUAAGGCUCUCUCAAAAACCUUGGAACACUCUAGAACCUAAACCCUUUCUUUUCACACUAUCUGCACACCAUUUAAGCCUCCAUCUUCUUCAUCUCCAACACGCCAUUAUUUGCUUUCAGUGAGUUCGAUUAUAUCAAUCAAUCAAUCUUCUGCCUGUGUGUUCACAUAUUGUGUUUGACGGAAAAAUGGACGAUGAUUUUGGUAUUCCACCGGUCGAGGGAAUGGACGAGGACAUGGAUCUGCCGGAGGACAGUUCGACCAUGAAAGUAGGCGAGGAGAAGGAAAUUGGAAAUCAGGGAUUGAAGAAGAAGCUUGUUAAGGAAGGUGAAGGUUGGGAAACUCCUGAGCCUGGUGAUGAAGUCGAAGUUCAUUAUACUGGAACUCUGCUCGACGGAACCAAGUUUGAUUCCAGCCGCGAUAGAGGGGACCCCUUCAAGUUUACUCUCGGUCAAGGACAAGUAAUUAAAGGAUGGGAUCAAGGUAUAAAGACAAUGAAGAAAGGUGAAAAUGCUAUUUUCACCAUUCCUCCUGAGCUGGCUUACGGAGAGAGUGGUUCUCCUCCAACUAUCCCUCCAAAUGCCACUCUACAAUUUGAUGUGGAGUUGCUAUCAUGGGUGAGUGUAAAAGACAUUUGCAAGGAUGGUGGUAUUUUCAAAAAGAUCCUCACAGAGGGGGAAAAAUGGGAAAAUCCAAAAGAUCUUGACGAAGUAUUAGUCAAGUAUGAAGCUCAGCUCGAAAAUGGCACAGUGGUGGGAAAAUCAGAUGGAGUGGAGUUCACUGUUCAAGAUGGUCAUUUUUGUCCUGCUCUUGCUAAGGCUGUGAAAACUAUGAAGAAAGGUGAAAAGGUCCAAUUGACAGUGAAGCCACAAUAUGGCUUCGGAGAGAAAGGAAAACCAGCCUCGAGUGAUGGAGGAGCAGUUCCUCCUAAUGCCACAUUACAGAUCAACUUGGAGUUGGUCUCCUGGAAAACUGUUUCAAAUGUUACUGAUGACAAGAAAGUAGUAAAGAAGAUCUUGAAAGAAGGGGAAGGAUAUGAGAGACCCAAUGAAGGAGCUGUUGUUAAAUUAAAACUGGUUGGCAAGCUGCUAGAUGGCACAGUCUUCACAAAGAAGGGCCAUGAUGGGGAAAGUGAAGAUAAUCUUUUUGAGUUUAAGACAGAUGAGGAACAAGUAAUUGAUGGGCUGGACAGAGCUGUCAUGACAAUGAAGAAGGGUGAAGCGGCGCUGCUUACAAUUGCACCUGAAUAUGCCUUUGGUUCAUCUGAGUCGAAGCAAGAUUCAGCUGUUGUUCCUCCUAAUUCAACUGUGCAUUAUGAGGUUGAGCUUGUUUCUUUUCUCAAGGACAAGGAAUCGUGGGAUAUGAGUACCCCGGAGAAAAUUGAGGCUGCUGGCAAAAAGAAAGAAGAAGGGAAUGCACUGUUCAAGGCUGGUAAAUACGCAAGGGCAUCUAAGAGAUAUGAGAAGGCUGCUAAAUUCAUUGAGUAUGAUACUAACUUCAGUGAGGAGGAAAAGAAACAGUCUAAAGCAUUGAAGAUCACCUGCAACUUAAAUAAUGCAGCUUGCAAGUUGAAAUUGAAAGAUUACAAGCAGGCUGAGAAACUGUGUACCAAGGUGUUGGAACUGGAUAGUGCAAAUGUCAAAGCUCUUUACCGCAGAGCUCAAGCAUAUAUGAACAUGGCUGAUCUUGAUCUGGCUGAAUUUGACAUUAAGAAAGCUCUUGAGAUUGAUCCUGACAACAGGGAUGUGAAGCUUGAGUACAAAGCUCUAAAGGAGAAAGUCAAGGAAAUUAACAAGAAGGACGCAAAGUUCUACGGGAACAUGUUUGCAAAGUUGAAUAAGCAGGAUUCAUCAAACUCAGCCAACUCUGCUCCCAAGGAACCAGAGCCGAUGAGCAUUGAUAGCAAGGCAUAACUUUAACUCAGACAUGACAUAAAAAGGAUCAGCAUCAUCAUUAUCUUGACGGUUCAUAUAUGCCAUGGAGUCGUUAUAGUUGGAUUUUAGGAAAGAGUGUUUGCUGAAUAAUUUUACUGUAAUUUCUGAUUCUGCAUUGGGUACUAUCAAUGGAUCCCUCUUGUAAUGGAGUAUCAUCUGGCAUCUUUGCUGUGACAUAUUUUGGUUAUUGUGUUCUGUCAUUUUGUUGAGUGGAAUUAAUUGAAUGUCGUUCGAAAUUGAUGUAAGCCAAAAUCAGUAGUGAAGACCUUACAAUAAUAGUAGUAAAAUU